GUAGCACUUAUCCGCCAAGCUAUAUCUAGGAAUUUAAAGUCUCCGAUAACCACACAAUUCCCAGUAGUAUUUAUUCAAUUAAAACAUUGAAGAAGUCUU
Gopherus evgoodei (Goodes thornscrub tortoise) is the source of this 99-nucleotide long non-coding RNA. RefSeq lists it as uncharacterized. The transcript has 3 exons. NCBI's taxonomy places the organism in Eukaryota, Metazoa, Chordata, Testudines, Testudinidae. The record is from RefSeq and is a predicted model, not a curated record.